UUGAAGUUCAGGUAACACUGAAUGGAGGACCGAACCGACUUACGUUGAAAAGUGAGCGGAUGAACUGAGGGUAGCGGAGAAAUUCCAAUCGAACCUGGAGAUAGCUGGUUCUCUCCGAAAUAGCUUUAGGGCUAGCCUCAAGUGAUGAUUAUUGGAGGUAGAGCACUGUUUGGACGAGGGGCCCCUCUCGGGUUACCGAAUUCAGACAAACUCCGAAUGCCAAUUAAUUUAACUUGGGAGUCAGAACAUGGGUGAUAAGGUCCGUGUUCGAAAGGGAAACAGCCCAGACCACCAGCUAAGGUCCCAAAAUAUAUGUUAAGUGGAAAAGGAUGUGGCGUUGCCCAGACAACUAGGAUGUUGGCUUAGAAGCAGCCAUCAUUUAAAGAGUGCGUAAUAGCUCACUAGUCGAGUGACACUGCGCCGAAAAUGUACCGGGGCUAAACAUAUUACCGAAGCUGUGGAUUGUCCUUUGGACAAUGGUAGGAGAGCGUUCUAAGGGCGUUGAAGCAUGAUCGUAAGGACAUGUGGAGCGCUUAGAAGUGAGAAUGCCGGUGUGAGUAGCGAAAGACGGGUGAGAAUCCCGUCCACCGAUUGACUAAGGUUUCCAGAGGAAGGCUCGUCCGCUCUGGGUUAGUCGGGUCCUAAGCUGAGGCCGACAGGCGUAGGCGAUGGAUAACAGGUUGAUAUUCCUGUACCACCUAUAAUCGUUUUAAUCGAUGGGGGGACGCAGUAGGAUAGGCGAAGCGUG
RNAcentral lists this ribosomal RNA (748 nucleotides) under Staphylococcus aureus. RNAcentral's name for it is "partial 23S ribosomal RNA". It matches the Rfam family "Bacterial large subunit ribosomal RNA", at positions 745 to 1495 of the family's 2925-position model. The record is from RNAcentral. Lineage: Bacteria; Bacillati; Bacillota; Bacilli; Caryophanales; Staphylococcaceae.